Molecule: long non-coding RNA, 609 nt
Filed under: Chrysemys picta bellii (western painted turtle)
Lineage: Eukaryota; Metazoa; Chordata; Testudines; Emydidae
Description: lncRNA (ENSCPBG00000000665.1)
Source: RNAcentral
UAUGGUUAUAGUUUGUCAUAUUUCCCUGGAAAGCAGAUUAACUUAAUGUUAGUAUUUUACUAUAUUUAACUGUUUGUUUGUUCUUUUAUAUGCUAGGAAUAGUAAUCAUGCUAAAGCCCAUAUCGCUAUAGCACAGUAAAACAGCAGAAGAUGCCAAAGGAAGAUGUCUUCAAGGAAAAGAAGGGAAGGAAUGUGAUGGAGGAAACCUGUCAAUCAAGAAGGGAAUGCUUUAGGGCUGCUUUAAAGAGAAGCUGGUGCUACUGUAUUUUCAAAGGAAUGUGAGCUUCCUGCCUCAAAAUUUUGAAAUGGAAAAGGAAAACUUAUGAUGUAGGUGGGAUCCAUUUCUAGAAGUAUCCUUGUUAGAAUUGGAAACAUGCCUUACUUGCCUGCUGAAUUAUUUUGUGAAUAUAUCAAUCUACAUUUCCUGGGAUUUUCUCUAGGAAACAGAUGUACCUUUUUGCACACACCCCUUUGAAGAAGGUAGGCCUAUAUGCUAUAGGAAAAUUAAUUAUGUGAAAGAGUGUGAGAGAUUAUUUGGAUAAAAGUAGGAAGUUUAAACAUUUUACUUUCUAUAUCUUGAAUGAACUUUGCCUUAAGGUAUAUGGCCUG